AUGGAUUCCAAAGAUAAAGGACUUUUUUCCAUGCAUGGUGGCAAUGGUCCUCUCAGCUAUGUCAAAAACUCAUCCUACCAGGGAGGAGUAUUGGAAGCUGCAAAGGCAAUCAUCGAAGAAGAAAUCGCCACAAGAUUGAGUGCGGCAACG
This is a long non-coding RNA of Salvia splendens (bonfire salvia), 150 nucleotides long. RefSeq lists it as uncharacterized. The record is from RefSeq and is a predicted model, not a curated record. Lineage: Eukaryota; Viridiplantae; Streptophyta; Magnoliopsida; Lamiales; Lamiaceae. The transcript has 3 exons.